This 430-nucleotide ribosomal RNA is filed under the name uncultured bacterium. RNAcentral's name for it is "bacterial SSU rRNA". It matches the Rfam family "Bacterial small subunit ribosomal RNA", at positions 354 to 796 of the family's 1533-position model. The record is from RNAcentral.
GUGGGGAAUAUUGCACAAUGGGCGAAAGCCUGAUGCAGCGACGCCGCGUGAGGGAUGACGGCCUUCGGGUUGUAAACCUCUUUCAGCAGGGAAGAAGCGAAAGUGACGGUACCUGCAGAAGAAGCGCCGGCUAACUACGUGCCAGCAGCCGCGGUAAUACGUAGGGCGCAAGCGUUGUCCGGAAUUAUUGGGCGUAAAGAGCUCGUAGGCGGCUUGUCACGUCGGAUGUGAAAGCCCGGGGCUUAACCCCGGGUCUGCAUUCGAUACGGGCUAGCUAGAGUGUGGUAGGGGAGAUCGGAAUUCCUGGUGUAGCGGUGAAAUGCGCAGAUAUCAGGAGGAACACCGGUGGCGAAGGCGGAUCUCUGGGCCAUUACUGACGCUGAGGAGCGAAAGCGUGGGGAGCGAACAGGAUUAGAUACCCUAGUAGUCC